Molecule: long non-coding RNA, 834 nt
Filed under: Anas platyrhynchos platyrhynchos (common mallard)
Lineage: Eukaryota; Metazoa; Chordata; Aves; Anseriformes; Anatidae
Description: lncRNA (ENSAPLG00000028174.1)
Source: RNAcentral
GGCAUAUGGUCUAAAAUCACGAUGCAGGUGGGGUGAUAUAUAUAGUGCAUCUGGGACAGAUAAGAAAAAGAUAAUGCUAAUUCCUGAGGAUGGGGUAGCAACAGAAGGAAUGGAGAAGCUCCACUAUGAAGUGAUUAUAGAGGCUAUAUGUAAAGAUUUCUCUUGUGACUGCUUUUGAGGAAAAAUAAAGAAGAAAUAAGGAAUAGCAAUAGUAAAAGCAAGCUGACAGUGCUUGCCAGGAGCUCAAUCCACAGAAAGAGCUUCCCAGUCUGGGCUGCAUUCUUGUUUACUCAGAUUAUUUUGCUGAGAGAAAUGCCCUGCUGUGAUACUAAAGGAGAAGAAAAAGUGGGAGAUUUGAUUAAUGAGCUGCCCGUUGAUGUGGGGAUGUGCAGGCAGAUUAGUCACAGGAGCUAAACCUGGGUGCUGAGAGGGCUUCUCAAAGCGUGAGGAUAUUUGCAUGUUUCAUUCUCUAGACUGGAAUCUCAAUUCAGGCUCUUGGAUGCAGCUCAUUAGCAAAACUGGGAGGCUUUGCCAUUUGUCAGAUUACAUGGUAGUAAUUAGCCAUUAGAGUGCAGUCCUAUUUUUUGUCAUUAAGUUUGUGUCAAAAUUUCUCUGUUCAUUAUCUGUGGAAAACACUCACAAAACAAUCAACAUCCAUUUUGCUGUAAGUACAGUUGUAUGUCCUUGCUUUCUUCAAGACGUUCCUUUCUGAUGUUCCCCCAGUUGUCCCUACUGUUGCCCUCUUAUUUUCCUGCCAUGCUUUGGAGAGACUGACUGAGGAUGGCAUUAAGUUUGAGAGUUUUAUAUCAUCUCUGUGAGCAUCCUUGAAUGCUU